AAUGGGUCAGCGACUUAUAUUCUGUAGCAAGGUUAACCGAAUAGGGGAGCCGAAGGGAAACCGAGUCUUAACUGGGCGUUAAGUUGCAGGGUAUAGACCCGAAACCCGGUGAUCUAGCCAUGGGCAGGUUGAAGGUUGGGUAACACUAACUGGAGGACCGAACCGACUAAUGUUGAAAAAUUAGCGGAUGACUUGUGGCUGGGGGUGAAAGGCCAAUCAAACCGGGAGAUAGCUGGUUCUCCCCGAAAGCUAUUUAGGUAGCGCCUCGUGAAUUCAUCUCCGGGGGUAGAGCACUGUUUCGGCAAGGGGGUCAUCCCGACUUACCAACCCGAUGCAAACUGCGAAUACCGGAGAAUGUUAUCACGGGAGACACACGGCGGGUGCUAACGUCCGUCGUGAAGAGGGAAACAACCCAGACCGCCAGCUAAGGUCCCAAAGUCAUGGUUAAGUGGGAAACGAUGUGGGAAGGCCCAGACAGCCAGGAUGUUGGCUUAGAAGCAGCCAUCAUUUAAAGAAAGCGUAAUAGCUCACUGGUCGAGUCGGCCUGCGCGGAAGAUGUAACGGGGCUAAACCAUGCACCGAAGCUGCGGCAGCGACACUAUGUGUUGUUGGGUAGGGGAGCGUUCUGUAAGCCUGUGAAGGUGUACUGUGAGGUAUGCUGGAGGUAUCAGAAGUGCGAAUGCUGACAUAAGUAACGAUAAAGCGGGUGAAAAGCCCGCUCGCCGGAAGACCAAGGGUUCCUGUCCAACGUUAAUCGGGGCAGGGUGAGUCGACCCCUAAGGCGAGGCCGAAAGGCGUAGUCGAUGGGAAACAGGUUAAUAUUCCUGUACUUGGUGUUACUGCGAAGGGGGGACGGAGAAGGCUAUGUUGGCCGGGCGACGGUUGUCCCGGUUUAAGCGUGUAGGCUGGUUUUCCAGGCAAAUCCGGAAAAUCAAGGCUGAGGCGUGAUGACGAGGCACUACGGUGCUGAAGCAACAAAUGCCCUGCUUCCAGGAAAAGCCUCUAAGCAUCAGGUAACAUCAAAUCGUACCCCAAACCGACACAGGUGGUCAGGUAGAGAAUACCAAGGCGCUUGAGAGAACUCGGGUGAAGGAACUAGGCAAAAUGGUGCCGUAACUUCGGGA
This 1124-nucleotide ribosomal RNA is filed under the name Escherichia coli. Its description in RNAcentral is "partial 23S ribosomal RNA". It matches the Rfam family "Bacterial large subunit ribosomal RNA", at positions 614 to 1741 of the family's 2925-position model. The record is from RNAcentral. Lineage: Bacteria; Pseudomonadati; Pseudomonadota; Gammaproteobacteria; Enterobacterales; Enterobacteriaceae.